CGGACUGUGAUAGUAAUAAUAAAUAACAACAUAAUAUUAUAAUUAUUUUUUGUUUGAAUCACUCGCGAAUUGCAAUUAUUUGAAAUUUGAACAAAAAUACACAUUACAGUCGUACAGAGUUCUGAUAAUCUAUUCAUACAUUUUAUUACAAAAUCACCAUGCAUAAGUGUAUUCUUUUUAGUAAAACAUCUAAAGUAUCGCCUAGCCACAUUAUGUUAAUUUUAAUUUGUAAAUCUCCAAAAAAUGAAAAUAGAAGGAAAUAAUAAUGGCUAAACAUCUUCGAACUAAAUGAUUAUUCCAAUUUCUAUCUGGCAUAGUAUUGGCGCUAAUCAUUUCAUAAUUAGUGAUUGUAAACAAUGCUCUCAAAACAUAAUCCAAACCAUUUGUCUGGGAUAGAGAAGUAAAAUAAAUUUUAGUGAUUUACAGCAAAAUUGGUACUACUCCGAGCACGACUAGUAAAUCGCAUCUAAUAGAAAAUUGUGUUUGUCCAACGAUGAGUUAGAAGAAAAUGAACAGGCGCAUAAAGGAUUUCGAGGCUUUACAUGCUGAUGAUUUUAAUUCACCCAGAAAAGUCUUAGAAACUUAAUAAUGUCCACACACACUUAUUUCAUACAGUGGAUUAUACUUAUUAUGGUUUUCAAAACUGAAAUAAUGAUGUACCACAUUCAAGGAACCAGGAAGUCGAGCCAAUGUAUUGGCAAUAUUUUUCAGACGUUGACUUUCUUGAAGAUAAUUCUACAGACUCUGAUGAAGCCAUACAAUAUUGGAGCGAAUUAUGAAACUUAAAGGUAAUACAAUUUUGCUGAGCAAGAAUCCAAUUUUAUUAACAUAAAUAAUUAAAUUGCAAAGAAACACACAACUAGUUUGGACUUUGGUAUCUUUUCUGAAGAGGAAUUGAAUAUAGUUGGACGCAUUUAACAGAGUUUACACACAUAUUUUGCCUGUGUCUUAUUCUAAACAAUUGGAUCAAAAGCCACCUCCAGCUGUUAUCACACAUAUCAUUUGUGAAGUCGUAACUAAUGUACAAGAUUUUUUGACAAACGCGUCACCUGUCAGAAUGGUCGGCAUGAGCAUGAGCUGUGAAAAGAUAUGUAUUGAAGAUAUUGCUGAUAGGCUGUUAAAAGUAUCGGGGUGUCCUACAACUGUUUACUGGUCGUCAAACCCGCUCCCACACAAGGAACUUACUUCUCAACGAGGAACAACAAACUUCUUUGAAAGUAAACCAAGCGAACACCAAUUACAUUCAGUUGCACUCUGAAUCGUAUUUGUGAAUAAAAUUAUUUGUCAAUGACUUAUUCGUCAUUAUAAGAAUACUUUAUUUUUUAAUUUUAUUUUAAAAAUGUAAUGUCUUUCAAUUCUAAAUAAAUUAUACUAUCAUACUUUUCA
Molecule: long non-coding RNA, 1386 nt
Organism: Metopolophium dirhodum (rose-grain aphid)
Lineage: Eukaryota; Metazoa; Arthropoda; Insecta; Hemiptera; Aphididae
Exons: 7
Source: RefSeq, a predicted model, not a curated record